CCCCAGCCCCCUCAGCCACUAUUUUUAUUUGCUAAUACUUUGAGCCUGUGUUGGAAUAAUGCUAUCAGGCCCUUCUUCCCAGCUUAUAAACGGCUACCGUUUUUCUGCAACGCUUCAUCAUCCAGCAACACCGCCUACUUUCCUUAAAGCCUGGGCCAAAAAUAAGUCCCUGAACCCUGAACCUAACCAAGGUCCUUCGCUUCUUCGACCUGCCCGGAGCAUGGCUCAACCAGCUAGAGUCAGAUUUAAGGGCCCAGGCUGGCUCUAGAGUUCUUCCCUAGGGGGAGCAGCUAGUCUCCAAGGAAGAGGAACGGUAACCCUGGCAAAGCUCUUUCAAGAUUAUCUGGGUAGCCUCUAAGGAACUAACCAAUAAGAACCUCUGCAGCCCUUAGAUUACCUUAAAAAACAAAACAAAACAAAAAAACACAAUGUAAACAGCAGGUACAUAGACGUCCUAAUGGUAAACGAGACUGGAACAAGAAUGGAAAGUCCCUGCAUCGGACUCGUUUAUUCUUUCAUCGGCCCAGGAGGUAUUUAAUUUGUGCUGCUAUGUGCCAGGCACUGUGCUGGGGACCGGAGAAACAAAGAUAAGCAGUGUGUGGCCCUCUCGGCGUCUGCAGGGCCACCUUGGCGAGCCACAGCUAGUCUAUGACAAUUGGAUCACCUUGUCCUUCACGGCAGGUGUGUGCACUAACGGGGCAGCAGCGAAGCAAAGGGAUCCAGUGCCUUCUGCCUCCAUGGGUAUCACGCAUGCACGUGGUGUACAGACAUCCAGAAUCUAGACCAGCACCCAAAUCAUGGAGCUCAGUAACUAUUUACUGGAUAUGAGAAUGUACAUGAUGGAAUAGAGAGUGAAAUUUCUGGAAGGCCCUGGAACCCUCUGUGUACAAUGGUGCUUUGAGACCUACGGAGCUAAGAGAGCAGCUCAAAUGGAGCACAUUUAGAGAUCUAACUAGCAAACUCGAAGAGUGCGUCUGUUUAACGAGAGCCUUUACAGAAUGGAAUUUGUGGAAUGAGGGGUAACAGGUAACCAUUUAAGGCUAAAGAUUAUGUUAUAUGCUUAUAAUUCCAGGCCUUGAGAAACGGAGGCAGGAGAAUCACAGGUUCCAGGCAAGCCUGGCCUAUGCUGGUAGAUUCCAUCUCAAAAAAAUUUAAAAGCUACUUGCCUCUGACUGUCUCUUUGGGUCUGAAUUCCACAAAAUUCCUGGUUAUUUUCAGGUAGCCCCUGAUGCCUGUCCCUUCAGCCUCCAUUUAGUGAUUAAGAUGGCUUAAAUGAAACCGGGGUCUUCUGUAUGGUUCUUUGAGUCAGGGUCUCACUUACCUCUGGUUGGUCUUGAACUCAUUAUCUAGCUAAGAAUGGCCUUUCUGAUUUUCUUGCCUUUGCCUCGCAAGGAGUGAUAUUAUGGGCGUACAACAGCCAGGAUUAAUUUUUAUAUUUAUUUCUGUUAUCGUUUUCUAUGCUUAAAUGUUUUGUCUGUCUGUAUGUCUGUGCACUAUGUGGGUGCUGGGAAUCGAACCCAGGUCUUUUGCAAGAACAGCAAGUGCUUUGACUAAUGAGCCAGCUCCUUGAAUUAAUUUUUAAAAAUGAAAACUUUACAGUGCUUGCUUUUGCUUGUCUCUUAGCUUUACUGGAUUGCAGGUGGCCAUGUUCCCUGGGAAACACAGUAGAGCUCCGGAGAUGCUUGUGUUGACCUACUCAUCUCUCCUCCGAAUUUUCUAGCCCUCAUCUCUCCAGAGUUUGCGUAGGACGGUAGAGAGAAAAGGGGCCACACCUGCAUCGUCAUCACCCAGAUCAAGGUGGUCUGCACUAUCAAGGAGAAGGACUGGAAGUCAGAGAUGUCCUUUCCAUCACUGCGUUCUGAGUUGAAGAUGGUCCCCAUGGGGACAAAGAAGAGCACGAAGGAACUGUAGAUGCCAUGUAUCAAACACUUAAUAAAUUCCUUCUUGUUGAAA
Peromyscus maniculatus bairdii (prairie deer mouse) is the source of this 1953-nucleotide non-coding RNA. The record is from RefSeq and is a predicted model, not a curated record. Lineage: Eukaryota; Metazoa; Chordata; Mammalia; Rodentia; Cricetidae.